AUUAAUUGUAUAUCACAGACUGGCUUCAAAAAAGUGGUAGUUGUAACUGUGUUACUCCUGUUUAAAGGGUCCCAUUCUAGUAUCUUUAUCUCCAAAAUGAAAAAGUGAUUUCAGUUUCCCCUAUUUCCAAUAUUAUUGAAAAAAUCAUCAUAAAACAAACUUCCAUCUACUUACAUUAUGUCGCAUAGUAUAAAACAACUCAUACAAAGCAUACAAAAACAAUAUCUACAACUGUGACAUUUCCAUAAUGCAUUAAUCUCAGUGAUUUACCGCCAAUUUCACUUUAAAAUAUGAACAACUAUGACAUAAUAUUGUUUGUUACAUAAGUCAAAUAUUGUGCCUGAACCAAAUUCAAAACAUGGAGUUGUUCCCUUCAAAUUUUCAUAAAGAGUUAAAAA
This 398-nucleotide long non-coding RNA is filed under the name Mytilus galloprovincialis (Mediterranean mussel). Lineage: Eukaryota; Metazoa; Mollusca; Bivalvia; Mytilida; Mytilidae. The record is from RNAcentral.